CAUGAUUAUUAAGGGUAUGGGUAGAAAACAUGUUUGUAGGAUUUUACUUACCUAUUUGCGCAAUAGAAAUCAUGUCUAGGACAUGCAUUUUACAUGUAGGAAUCCUGCUCUUAGGUCUCUUACUUUCAUCUUGUUAUUUUUACGACCAUAAUCAGUUAAUAAUCAAGUUACUACCAUUGCAUAUAGAUACAAUGGUUUAGGGCAUUUAUAUACAUUAGAU
RNAcentral lists this long non-coding RNA (220 nucleotides) under Nicotiana benthamiana. Its description in RNAcentral is "long non-coding RNA (NBEN_LNC030253)". Lineage: Eukaryota; Viridiplantae; Streptophyta; Magnoliopsida; Solanales; Solanaceae. The record is from RNAcentral.